Carassius carassius (crucian carp) is the source of this 91-nucleotide non-coding RNA. NCBI's taxonomy places the organism in Eukaryota, Metazoa, Chordata, Actinopteri, Cypriniformes, Cyprinidae. The record is from the annotation of a RefSeq genome assembly.
GGCACACAGUGUAGCGUGGCCGAGCGGUCCAAGGCGCUGGAUAUAGGCUCCAGUCUCUUCGGGGGUGUGGGUUCGAAUCCCACCGCUGCCA